GUCCCAAAAUGACAAGACAAGAGCUCCUCUUCUCGAGCCAUCAGUCCUCCCACAAGUUCUAGAGAUAACACCAAAUAAAACUUUUCAAGUCUUAACACUAUACCAAGCAGCUCUACUAUAAGCCUCAAGACAUAAAAUAGCUCUUUUCUAAGCCAAAACGACUCAUCAGCUCUUCAGUACCAUCUCAGAGCUCUUCACUUAAGGAUUAGAAAAAACCCAAUUGCUCCUCAAGUUUUAGUCAGUACCAUGAUCUCCUUAGUGUAAGUGUUUAGUGCUACCGUUAAGCUCCUCUAAACCCUAAGCCUUCUUCUAAGUUUCCUCUUAAGCCUCACAGUAGAAGGAAGGAGCACUGUACUGCCUUCCAUCGCCAGUGAACACACGGUAAGCCAAAAGCCAAGACUCGCGCCGCUAAACUCGCCCACUCCAUCUCGCAAAGUUUAUAAUUCAGACGUGAACUUUGAUACACCAUGACGUGAAGUUUGGGACAUGACACCCAGUGGUUCUGACACGCCGACUCGAGGGGCUGUGGCUGCCGCCGCGACGAGGCCCUGAGAAAGAUAUCCAAGAAAUGCCGUGCUUCAGAUGGCUCCAGUGUGUGUGUGUGUAUGUGUGUGUGUGUGUGUGCGGGGGAGGAGAGCGGGAGCGAGGGAGGAGCGAAGUGUGACCUGAUCGGACAUAACGCAAGGGAAGGGCGGGCAGUGUCAUGCUGGCGGUGCUAGAGAGAGCCACGCUUCGCUCCGCCUCUCACGCCGCCACUGGAAUCUCGCCGCUCGCUACUCGCUGCUUUGCCACCGCACUGCCACGUUUCCCGCGCCACAAUGGCCGAGCUGCCGCGCCAUGCUCCUUGACGCCACAAUCAUGACUCUUGUUACCGUGGCCUGGGACGUCGCCACAUACAGCUAGAACUAAUAACUUUGUCUCCGUUAAAUUUUGGUACUUGUCCGUGUUGUCUUUCGCGCCUCUGCCUCCACAUCUCCUCUCCAAGCUUCACCUCCACUCUCCUACCUCUACCUGGAGACUGAGAACACUAAGACAUUAAAAACUAUACACAAAAAGCCCUGGAAAAUAUUUGUAUCUACCAAAAUAACGUAGAUUUAUCACACUUUUCGAGAAACUGAAACUCGAGGACGCGGUGAACUCAAGAAACACUUAGAAAAUUCUCGUGUUUCUCCUUGGACUGAACUCAAGGGAACGCAAAGGAAGAACAAAUAGCAGCAGACCUUUUGCUGACCGGUACGAGAGGUUGUGGGUGUGGACUGAUUUGUUGUUAUUUCUCAUCCAUCGCUCACCAUUCGCUCUCCACGACAGUCUUACAGUGUGCUAACCAUGGGCCGCUACCUCCUGCUCCUCGUGGUGGUCGUGGCAGCCUUCCAGGACCUCUGGGCCAGCGGGGGUCGAACUGAUGGCCUCUCACGCUGGGGGACCACGUGGGGCAAGCACAACCACAAGGGCGCGGCGUCCAGCAGGUCUAGAGCCUCCCACCUGUCCCGCAUCAAGCCCGAGCAGCAGAACAACACGGAAAUCUUGGCUCAGGUCGGCGGGCGGGUCACCAUUAAAUGUUACACUCGAUUCCUCGGCAACGAAAUAGUAACGUGGCUGAAGAGGGACGAGGAUCACCUGUUGACUGCCGGGUCACAGGUGUACUCUUCUGACGUCCGCUUCUCCGUAGCACACAUCAAGAACCAGGACCUGUGGCAACUCUCUCUACGGGAUGUGCGCCUGUCUGAUGCCGGCCUGUAUGAAUGUCAACUCACCACGCACCCUCCCACCUCGCUCUUCUUCACUCUCAAGGUGGUGGAGGCGCGAGCGGUGAUCGAGGGGCAGCCCCGCCACACACUUCCACAAGGGCCCACACGCUGCGUCUGCACUGCAUCGUAGAGCGCGCCACAGAGGAACCCAUGUACAUCUUCUGGUACCACAACGGCAGCAUGGUCAACUAUUACCCAAACAAGCCCGACAGGAUCUCUAAGCACCGCUACAGCAGCACCCUCACCAUCAACAACCUCACCUGGUCCCACGCCGGCGAGUACCGCUGCGAGCCGCCACUGGCCACCCCCCGCUUCCAUCACCGUGCACGUCACCAGACCCCCGGCGGCUAUGCAGAACACGGGCGAAGGAAGAGGAGGAGGAGGAGGAGGAGGAGGAAGGAUCAUGGUAGGAGUAGGAGUGGCUCUCUCUUUCUCCCCACCCGUCGUGCCUUGGGUCAUCUCCCCUCUACCUCUUGUUCUGUCUCCUUGCAGCCAGCUGGUGAGAGGAGGGAGAGGAGGAGGUGGUGUCUGAAGUUUCUCUCUCUUUCUCUCUACCUUCUCCCCUUCUCUAGCCUUCUGCAGCUUCAUAAACACUGGGAAAGAACGACUGCAAAACAUCUCCAGUGACGGAUAAGUGCCAGGGAUGGAACGUACUGUUUACCGUUUUCUGUGGAAGGAAGGACGGAAGGGGUAACUCAUGUACCGUACGUAGAGUUGUCAAAAACGAUUAAUAAUGUUUUCCCUUUGUGUCUUAACUGUGUAAAAAGUUAGUAGUAGAGUGUGUGUGUGUGUGUGUGUGUGUGUGUGUGUGUGUGUAGGUGGGUGUAAAGAGCGUAAAGGAGUUGUAAUAUUAAAGAGUAUUUAGAGCUGUGUAUUCGCUCGUGGGUCUUAAAAGGAUUAAAAGUUUAGUGUUACGUGAUAUUGUGGUGGUGAAUUUAUUUAUUUAUUUAUUUUUUUGUUAUAUUUUGGUGGGGGGGACGAGUUUUUGUGUAUAAUAAUGUUUUGAGUGAUGUGAUGUGAGCUCUUCCCCCUCGUGUUGUGUGUGUGUGUGUAUGUGUAUGUGUGUGUGUGUGUGUGUGUGUACAAAAAAAAUAAAAGUGCUUAUAAUCAUGUGUCUUCGUCUAUUACGUAAUUCAAACAAGAGAAAAAACACUCCAUGUAUGUAAAUAAUGUACCUAUGUGUGUGUAUGUAUAUAUAUGUACGUAUUGAAGCUUGUGUGCAUAUACAUAGUGAAAAAAAAUUAGCUGUGUACGUAAAUGGCAAUCCUAGUUCAAAAAUUAAUGUACGUAAGUAUGAAUGUGUGUGUGUGUGUGUGUGUGUGUGUGUGUGUGUGUGUGUGUGUGUGUGUGUGUGUGUGUGUGUGUGUGUGUGUGUGUACUACGUGCCAAAUAAUCCUGUGUUUCGUGAAUAAAAUGAAUAAAAUGCAGUUGAACCUU
RNA transcript from Scylla paramamosain (green mud crab), 3185 nucleotides. RefSeq lists it as uncharacterized. Lineage: Eukaryota; Metazoa; Arthropoda; Malacostraca; Decapoda; Portunidae. The transcript has 6 exons. The record is from RefSeq and is a predicted model, not a curated record.